CAGUAGCCGCGGGAAUACGGAGGGGGCUAGCGUUGUUCGGAAUUACUGGGCGUAAAGCGUACGUAGGCGGCUUGGUAAGUUAGAGGUGAAAGCCUGGAGCUCAACUCCAGAAUUGCCUUUAAGACUGCCGAGCUAGCAGGUGAGAGAGGUAGUGGAAUUCCGAGUGUAGAGGUGAAAUUCGUAGAUAUUCGGAAGAACACCAGUGGCGAAGGCGGCUUACUGGCUCAUACUGGACGCUGAGGUGCGAAAGCGUGGGGAGCAAACAGGAUUAGAUACCCCCGUAGUCCCUGUCUCUUAUACA
Molecule: ribosomal RNA, 301 nt
Filed under: uncultured bacterium
Lineage: Bacteria
Description: partial 16S ribosomal RNA
Rfam family: Bacterial small subunit ribosomal RNA
Source: RNAcentral